Dicentrarchus labrax (European seabass) is the source of this 4034-nucleotide long non-coding RNA. RefSeq lists it as uncharacterized. The record is from RefSeq and is a predicted model, not a curated record. The transcript has 4 exons. Lineage: Eukaryota; Metazoa; Chordata; Actinopteri; Moronidae.
GUUCAGGGACUUUUGCUAAUGUAAACUUAGAUAUAUAUUUAGACUGUUUUUCUGCUAUCGAUCUUCAUCAGUUAACUUCAAUCAUUUCUUCAUCGAAGCCAUCAACCUGUCUAUUAGACCUGAUCCCAACUAGGCUGCUUAAAGAAGUUGUUCCCUUAAUUGGCACUUCUUUACUGGAUAUGAUUAAUCUUUCUUUAUUAUCAGGAUAUGUACCACAGUCCUUUAAAGUAGCUGUAAUUAAACCCUUUCUUAAAAAUUUAGAUUUAGAUUUAGAGUUCAUCAUAGCACAGAGACAGCUCUGGUUAAAGUUAAUAAUGACCUUCUGAUUGCUUCUGACAAUGGACUUGUCUUUGUACUUGUAUUAUUAGAUCUUAGUGCUGCAUUUGACACCAUUGACCAUGAUAUUCUUUUACAGAGACUUGAGCAUCAAAUUGGCAUUAAAGGAACCGCACUAAGCUGGUUUAAGUCAUAUUUAUCAGAUCGUUCGCAGUUUGUACAUGUUAACGAUGAAUCUUCAAUAAAUACUACAGUUAGUCAUGGAGUUCCACAAGGUUCUGUACUUGGACCAUUACUAUUUACUCUAUAUAUGCUCCCUUUAGGCAACAUUAUUAGGAAUCACUCCAUUAACUUUCACUGUUAUGCAGAUGAUAAGCAGUUAUAUCUAUCAAUCAAGCCCGAUGAAAUUAAUCAAUUAUCUAAAUUACAAACAUGUCUUAAGGACAUAAACUCCUGGAUGAGCUGCAAUUUUCUGAUGUUAAACUCAGAAAAAAACGAAAUUCUUGUUCUUGGCCCCAAAAACCUUAGAGACUCACUGUCUAAAGAUAUAGUUACUCUAGAUGGCAUUACCUUGGCCUCUAGCACCACUGUCAGGAAUCUUGGAGUUAUCUUUGAUCAGGAUUUGUCUUUUAACUCCCACUUGAAGCAGACCUCUAGGACUGCCUUCUUUCAUUUACGUAAUAUUAUAAAAAUUAGACACAUACUAUCACAGACAGAUGCAGAAAAACUAAUCCAUGCAUUUGUUACUUCAAGGCUGGAUUACUGUAACUCUUUAUUAUCAGGUUGCCCCAACAAGUCCAUUAAAACGCUCCAAUUAAUUCAGAACGCUGCAGCACGAGUGCUGACAGGAACUAGAAAAAGAGAUCACAUCUCUCCUGUACUAGCUUCUCUGCACUGGCUCCCUGUAGAAUAGAAUUUUAAAUCCUCCUCCUCACCUAUAAAGCUCUUCAUGGUCAGGCCCCUUCAUAUCUUAAAGAGCUCAUAGUACCCUAUUACCCCACUAGAACACUACGUUCUCUGAAUGCUGGGAUACUUGUGGUUCCUAUAGUCUCUUAAAGUAGAACAGGAGCCAGAGCCUUCAGUUACCAAGCUCCUCUCCUGUGGAACCAGCUUCCAGUCGUGGUUCGGGAGGCAGACACCUUCAACACAUUCAAGAGUAGGCUUAAGAUAUUCCUCUUUGAUAAAGCUUAUAGUUAGGGCUAGAUCAGGUGAGUCCUGAACCAUCCCUUAGUUAUGCUGCUAUAGGCCUAGACUAUCGGGGGAUUUCCCAUGGUGCACUGAGCUCCUCUCUUCCUCUCUCUUUCUGCACUCAUUCAUGUCCCAUUAAUGCAUGUUACUAACUUCACUUCUUCCCCGGAGUUCUUGGGCUUUCUUGUCUCGCAGGUUCUUAUCGAUCCUGGUGGAGCCUCCUGCCAUGGUCCUGCUAGAUUGCCAUUGCCAAUACUGUUGUUGCUGUGCACCUGUCUGUCUUUCUGUCUGUCUCUCUCUCUCUCUCUCUCUCUCUCUCUCUCUCUCUCUCUCUCUCUCUCUCUCACCACAACUGGUCGAGACAGACCCACCUAGAGCCGAAGGAUCAGUCCUAGGUUUCUGCCUUUUAACAGGCAGUUUUUCCUUGCCCUUGUCGCCUAGUGCUUGCUCAUGGUGGUACUGUUGGGUCUCUGUAAAUAAUGUUUUAAAGAGUUCGGUCUAGACCUACUCUAUUUGAAAAGUGUCCUGAGAUAACUUCUGUUAUGAAUUGGCGCUAUCCAAAUAAACUUGAAUUGAAUUGAAUUGAAAUUAAUUAACACGAGUGUCAUCAUCGGUGAGCAGGAGCUCUCAGACACUGAUUCAGAUCAGAUAUGUUCUAUUCUCCUGUCAACUUUAUUAAGGGAUUGCAAACAUAAUUAAGCCCAAGAUGCAUUUAACAUUUAUUACCGUGCUUCUUUUUUAGUGAGCCUCCCUAAGCCCAGCAUCUCCAUGAUUCCUGCUGGUGAGGUUACCUGGGGUCAGGAUGUUGACAUCACUUGUUUGAUCUCACUUCACACUCAACAACUUUUAAAUGUAACAUUCAUUCUAAACCAGCCCUCGGGUUCAUUAAGAGAGAAGCAAACGUCAAAUAACACUGCUACCUUCAGAAUCAGUAAAGUGGACUUUGUUGAUGAGGGAUCGUAUCAGGCCUCCCAGUGCACAAGUCCUCAUACUCCAUGCAUUAGUUGGUGAGUUAGGGGUUGUGUGGUUGUGUCCACAUAGCAUUUUUAUUUUUGUUCACCCAGCACCUUCCGUUCAGUUCACCAUGACUUUUUUGUGCAACCGAGUUCUUCUAGUUGAAAAACUCUGAACUUUUAACAAAGGCAAUGGUGUUGUCCCUGUCGUUUAUUUACAGGCAACCAGUCAUAUAUUAUGUGGUGGGACUCGUCACCCUGGUAACCAGAGAUAUGGAGGAGAAGCUUGUUCUGGUUAUCCUGAGCUUUAUGCUAUGUCAGACAGAAAUGAUCAUGACAUGUGCUUUUAUCACCCCUAGGUGUUGUUAGCUGUGUAGGCAACUCUUUGUUAACAUAGUGUCCUUUAUCUCACUGCACAAUCACUUCAUCCUAGCACCCCGCCAGCGCUGGCCAGAAAAGAAGAAGCCCUUAGGGGCCUUUAAAACCUUUGUGAAAUGCUAUUUUUGACACAUUCUUUAGUUUUAAGGCCUUCUUGUGAAUUCAGCAUUACAUGUAAUCAUUAGCCCAUCAAUGUACAGGAUGCAAAGGUCCUAGAGAUGUUCUCAUGGGCUCCACCAUGCUCACAGAUGCCACCUGGUGGUUGCUGGUGCAAACAACAAUUCCUUCCUGACAGCUCUCACUCCAGUUGUAAAGGUUUUAGUCCUUCACCAUGGCCUCCUCAAACUCCUCCCUCACCAUGCACACCAGCACAGAGGCUGCCCUCCUUCUGGCCUCCAAAUACUGUACCUUUGUGCUGGGUCACCUGAGCCAACCAAGGCUGAAAGGACUGCUCAUUCGUCCAUCCAUCCAUCCAUCCAUCCAUCCACUGAAUCGACAUAGAUGAAACUGUUAUGGGUACUGGCCUGGUGUCUGCUUAGGGAUAACAUAAAAACAUUGUUUCUUAUAACUUCACCUCUUACUACUGUACCUAAUCAUCAUAUUUAUUCAUCUGAUGAUUAUAUUCUCUAUUUCCAUGGUAACAGUGCAAAAGGAAGUGCUAACAGCUUAUGCAGAAAUACUUUCUAUGGUGCUGCUCAUUGACCUAGUCUAUGGCCUGUUCUCUAUAUUUUUAAGGAUAAACUGUUAAGUAUUUCUCUUUCCUAGUUCCUUUGUGGCUGCUGGUCUCCUCAGUAGCUGCUGGGAUCCUGCUGCUGCUCCUGCUGGUCUUGGUGGUGGUCUGUUUGGUCCUCAGGAGAAGGCGACGAUCAAAGCAGCCUGAAGGCGUCGUCCAAACUCAAUUGGCGGUCAGGAACAAUUAUGAAGAGGACAAUGAGGAGAGUGAAGAGGAGGAGGGGGACUAUGUUAAUGUUGAGCCAGUGGACACCAACCAGAUACAGACUGGACAAGCAGAAGGAGACGAAGACGAAGAUGGAAGGAAACGGACAGAACGCGUGGACAGAACGGUUCGACACCUCCCCGGUGACAGCAACUGCCAAACUGCAGAGCAGCCCCCCGACGACGAGCAUUGGAGCGCCAGUUUUACUCUGGCCUGGGUUGGCAGACGGACAUCUGCCACCGGGAAGACUCCACGGCGGAGGGCCUAGGCCAGGGGUGUCAAACUGAUCCGUGAAAGGGCCG